This 292-nucleotide ribosomal RNA is filed under the name uncultured bacterium. RNAcentral describes it as "partial 16S ribosomal RNA". It matches the Rfam family "Bacterial small subunit ribosomal RNA", at positions 505 to 796 of the family's 1533-position model. The record is from RNAcentral.
GUGUCAGCAGCCGCGGUAAGACGAACCGAGCGAACGUUGUUCGGAAUCACUGGGCUUAAAGGGCGCGUAGGCGGGCUGUCAAGUCUGGGGUGAAAUCCCACGGCUCAACCGUGGAACUGCCUUAGAUACUGACGGCCUCGAGGGAGAUAGGGGCGAGCGGAACUGUGAGUGGAGCGGUGAAAUGCGUUGAUAUUCACAGGAACUCCGGUGGCGAAGGCGGCUCGCUGGAUCUUUUCUGACGCUGAGGCGCGAAAGCUAGGGGAGCAAACGGGAUUAGAUACCCCCGUAGUCC